ACGUCACAGAGGGUGAGAAUCCCGUGCGAUGAGAUGCCCAAUUCUAUGUAAGGUGCUUUCGAAGAGUCGAGUUGUUUGGGAAUGCAGCUCUAAGUGGGUGGUAAAUUCCAUCUAAAGCUAAAUAUUGGCGAGAGACCGAUAGCGAACAAGUACAGUGAUGGAAAGAUGAAAAGAACUUUGAAAAGAGAGUGAAAAAGUACGUGAAAUUGUUGAAAGGGAAGGGUUUGAGAUCAGACUCGAUAUUUUGUGAGCCUUGCCUUCGUGGCGGGGUGACCCGCAGCUUAUCGGGCCAGCAUCGGUUUGGGCGGUAGGAUAAUGGCGUAGGAAUGUGACUUUACUUCGGUGAAGUGUUAUAGCCUGCGUUGAUGCUGCCUGCCUAGACCGAGGACUGCGAUU
Molecule: ribosomal RNA, 396 nt
Filed under: Meyerozyma guilliermondii
Lineage: Eukaryota; Fungi; Ascomycota; Pichiomycetes; Serinales; Debaryomycetaceae
Description: LSU rRNA
Rfam family: Eukaryotic large subunit ribosomal RNA
Source: RNAcentral